GAUGAACGCUAGCGGGAGGCUUAACACAUGCAAGUCGAGGGGCAGCACGAGGUAGCAAUACUUUGGUGGCGACCGGCGCACGGGUGAGUAACGCGUAUGUAACCUACCCUGUACAGGGGAAUAACCCGGAGAAAUUCGGACUAAUACCCCAUAAAGAUAUUUUGAGGCAUCUUAGAAUAUUUAAAGUUUCGGCGGUACGGGAUGGGCAUGCGUAACAUUAGCUAGUUGGUAGGGUAACGGCCUACCAAGGCUACGAUGUUUAGGGGUCCUGAGAGGGUGAUCCCCCACACUGGUACUGAGACACGGACCAGACUCCUACGGGAGGCAGCAGUGAGGAAUAUUGGUCAAUGGGCGCAAGCCUGAACCAGCCAUCCCGCGUGCAGGAAGACGGCCCUAUGGGUUGUAAACUGCUUUUCCAGGGGGUAAACUCCCGUACGUGUACGGGACUGACGGUACCCUGGGAAUAAGCAUCGGCUAACUCCGUG
This 485-nucleotide ribosomal RNA is filed under the name uncultured bacterium. Its description in RNAcentral is "bacterial SSU rRNA". It matches the Rfam family "Bacterial small subunit ribosomal RNA", at positions 28 to 507 of the family's 1533-position model. The record is from RNAcentral.